Molecule: ribosomal RNA, 119 nt
Filed under: Pteropus alecto (black flying fox)
Lineage: Eukaryota; Metazoa; Chordata; Mammalia; Chiroptera; Pteropodidae
Source: RNAcentral
UGGUACGGCCAUGCCACUCUGAACGUGCCCAAUCUCAUCUGAUCUCAGAAGCUAAGUAGGGUCUGGCCUGGUUAGUACUUGGAUGGGAAACCACCUAGGAAUAGCAGGUGCUGUAGGCA